CCUACGGGAGUCAGCCGUGAGGAAUAUUGGUCAAUGGGCGGAAGCCUGAACCAGCCAAGUAGCGUGCAGGAUGACGGCCCUACGGGUUGUAAACUGCUUUUAUACGGGAAUAACGCGCCUUACGUGUAGGGCUUUGCAUGUACCGUAUGAAUAAGGACCGGCUAAUUCCUUGCCAGCAGCCGCGGUAAUACGGAAGGUCCGGGCGUUAUCCGGAUUUACUGGGUUUAAAGGGAGCGUAGGCCGCAUGUCAAGCGUGCUGUGACAUGUCCGGGCUCAACCCGGGCCUUGCAGCGUGAACUGGCGUGCUUGAGUCCGCGGAAAGCAGGCGGAAGUCGUCGUGUAGCGGUGAAAUGCUUAGAUAUGACGAAGAACCCCGAUUGCGAAGGCAGCUUGCUGCAGCGGAACUGACGCUGAUGCUCGAAAGCGCGGGUAUCGAACAGGAUUAGAUACCCCAGUAGUC
This 460-nucleotide ribosomal RNA is filed under the name uncultured bacterium. RNAcentral describes it as "partial 16S ribosomal RNA". It matches the Rfam family "Bacterial small subunit ribosomal RNA", at positions 338 to 795 of the family's 1533-position model. The record is from RNAcentral.